RNAcentral lists this ribosomal RNA (435 nucleotides) under Triticum aestivum (bread wheat). RNAcentral's name for it is "partial small subunit ribosomal RNA". Lineage: Eukaryota; Viridiplantae; Streptophyta; Magnoliopsida; Poales; Poaceae. The record is from RNAcentral.
AUGGAUAAUGCCAGCUAUGCUUAUAACCAACACAAAUAUAACAUUGCAAUGAAUGAUCUAAAAAAUCAGAGUGAGGAAGCUUGGAAGUGGCUGAGUGGAAUACCAAAACACACAUGGGCCAGACAUGCUUUUGACACUAACUGCAAGACAGAUUUGGUUGUUAACAACCUGUCAGAGGUGUUCAACAAGUACAUCUUAGAUUCCAGGAAAAAACCUAUUGGGACAAUGGUUGAUGGUAUUAAGGACAAGCAAAUGGUGAGGUGGCAUAGGAAUAGAGAGAGAGGAAAAGCAGCUAUGUGGGAGAUCACACCUCAUUAUGCUGAAAAGCUGGAGGUGGAAAAGGAAAGGGCCAGAUUUUGCAAACCAAUUCAAGUUGGUGUUAAUAUAUGGCAAGUGACCAGUGGGCAGCAAACUCAUCCAGUUAACCUGGAAUAG